UUGUGUUACAGCUUUUUUAUAAUUUAUCUAGCAGUUGUCUUGGUUUUCACUGGAACCCU
Molecule: small nuclear RNA, 59 nt
Filed under: Otolemur garnettii (small-eared galago)
Lineage: Eukaryota; Metazoa; Chordata; Mammalia; Primates; Galagidae
Description: U7 small nuclear RNA (ENSOGAG00000023448.1)
Rfam family: U7 small nuclear RNA
About the family: Animal histone pre-mRNAs are spliced by a different mechanism than nuclear pre-mRNAs and self-splicing introns. This processing involves the U7 snRNP, which contains only one RNA species: U7.
Source: Rfam by way of RNAcentral